This 428-nucleotide ribosomal RNA is filed under the name uncultured bacterium. Its description in RNAcentral is "bacterial SSU rRNA". It matches the Rfam family "Bacterial small subunit ribosomal RNA", at positions 335 to 758 of the family's 1533-position model. The record is from RNAcentral.
ACUCCUACGGGAGGCAGCAGUGGGGAAUAUUGCACAAUGGGCGCAAGCCUGAUGCAGCCAUGCCGCGUGUAUGAAGAAGGCCUUCGGGUUGUAAAGUACUUUCAGCAGUGAGGAAGGUAUCGUAGUUAAUAGCUGCGGUAUUUGACGUUAGCUGCAGAAGAAGCACCGGCUAACUCCGUGCCAGCAGCCGCGGUAAUACGGAGGGUGCGAGCGUUAAUCGGAAUUACUGGGCGUAAAGCGCAUGCAGGUGGUUUGUUAAGUCAGAUGUGAAAGCCCGGGGCUCAACCUCGGAAUUGCAUUUGAAACUGGCAGACUAGAGUACUGUAGAGGGGGUUAGAAUUUCAGGUGUAGCGGUGAAAUGCGUAGAGAUCUGAAGGAUACCGGUGGCGAAGCGGCCCCUGGACAGAUACUGACACUCAGAUGCGAAA